RNAcentral lists this ribosomal RNA (492 nucleotides) under uncultured bacterium. RNAcentral describes it as "partial 16S ribosomal RNA". It matches the Rfam family "Bacterial small subunit ribosomal RNA", at positions 29 to 507 of the family's 1533-position model. The record is from RNAcentral.
AGUGAACGCUGGCGGUAGGCCUAACACAUGCAAGUCGAACGGCAGCACAGUAAGAGCUUGCUCUUACGGGUGGCGAGUGGCGGACGGGUGAGGAAUACAUCGGAAUCUACUUUUUCGUGGGGGAUAACGUAGGGAAACUUACGCUAAUACCGCAUACGACCUACGGGUGAAAGCAGGGGAUCUUCGGACCUUGCGCGAUUGAAUGAGCCGAUGUCGGAUUAGCUAGUUGGCGGGGUAAAGGCCCACCAAGGCGACGAUCCGUAGCUGGUCUGAGAGGAUGAUCAGCAAGACUGGAACUGAGCCACGGUCCAGACUCCUACGGGAGGCAGCAGUGGGGAAUAUUGGACAAUGGGCGCAAGCCUGAUCCAGCCAUACCGCGUGGGUGAAGAAGGCCUUCGGGUUGUAAAGCCCUUUUGUUGGGAAAGAAAAGCAGCAGGUUAAUACCCCGCUGUUCUGACGGUACCCAAAGAAUAAGCACCGGCUAACUUCGUG